This 72-nucleotide transfer RNA is filed under the name Rhipicephalus microplus (southern cattle tick). RNAcentral describes it as "tRNA-Glu". It matches the Rfam family "tRNA". Rfam says of the family: Transfer RNA (tRNA) molecules are approximately 80 nucleotides in length. Their secondary structure includes four short double-helical elements and three loops (D, anti-codon, and T loops). Lineage: Eukaryota; Metazoa; Arthropoda; Arachnida; Ixodida; Ixodidae. The record is from Rfam by way of RNAcentral.
UCUGGCGUAGUCUAGCGGCUAGGAUAUCUGGUUCUCACCCAGAAGGCCCGGGUUCGAUUCCCAGGGUCGGAA